RNAcentral lists this transfer RNA (91 nucleotides) under Colletotrichum tofieldiae. It matches the Rfam family "tRNA". Rfam says of the family: Transfer RNA (tRNA) molecules are approximately 80 nucleotides in length. Their secondary structure includes four short double-helical elements and three loops (D, anti-codon, and T loops). Further hydrogen bonds mediate the characteristic L-shaped molecular structure. tRNAs have two regions of fundamental functional importance: the anti-codon, which is responsible for specific mRNA codon recognition, and the 3' end, to which the tRNAs corresponding amino acid is attached (by aminoacyl-tRNA synthetases). tRNAs cope with the degeneracy of the genetic code in two manners: having more than one tRNA (with a specific anti-codon) for a particular amino acid; and 'wobble' base-pairing, i.e. permitting non-standard base-pairing at the 3rd anti-codon position. Lineage: Eukaryota; Fungi; Ascomycota; Sordariomycetes; Glomerellales; Glomerellaceae. The record is from Rfam by way of RNAcentral.
GGCCCUCUGGCGCAACGGUAGCGCGUUCGACUCCAGCUCCAUCACCAAUAGUGGCAUCGAAAGGUUAUCUGUUCAAAUCAGGUGGGGGUCA